Molecule: long non-coding RNA, 1633 nt
Organism: Peromyscus leucopus (white-footed mouse)
Lineage: Eukaryota; Metazoa; Chordata; Mammalia; Rodentia; Cricetidae
Exons: 3
Source: RefSeq, a predicted model, not a curated record
CCCCAGACCUGAGAGCCCCGCAGAGCCCUGCUCUCCCCAAGCCGGGGCUGCUGCGGGAAGCUGGGCUUUUAGGGGAAACCUCUGAGUCCCUGGCGGGGUUCCAGGUGGCCAAGGGCAGGCUGCUUGCCACCCAUGCCGUCCCCAGACGCCUCCCUCUGCUCAGUUCUAACGGGAGGGGACGGGCAACCAGGCUGCGGCAGGUUUCUGACAUUUUUUUUUUCUUCUUAGAAAUGGAAACCCUCCUUCCGGCAACGUGGCAGCAAAGCUAAGUCCCCGGGCGACCCAGGCCAAGGACAUUUCCGUGGUAGCAGGAUGUUUCUCUCUCAUCAUGUGGAAUCUGUGUGCAAUGGAAGCAUCCUGGAAACAAAAGAAAAGAAGGCAGAAAGAAGCCUGGUUAAUGGUUGUGGCCAUGAGCUGUGGUGGGAAGGGACACAUAGGUGCCCCUGGAAUGCCCAAAUUCCGGAGACUCCAAGUCACAGCGGCUCAGCAUCACGUCCAGGGGCCCUGCGAACAGCCGCAGUUCAGCCUGAGACCCUGGCUCUUUGGAGACUGAGGCAAGAGCAGGCUCUAGAGGGAAGGAAAAGCCACUCUCCCCUCCCAGGACAGUGAGGGUCUCUGCUCGGGUGAAGCCAGGAGCCUGUGGGGACGGUGGUGGGGCAUAAAAGAGGGAAUAUUUUCGACUCAUGAGAAGUUACAAAAAUAGUACAUUUCUCGCGUCCCAUUCACCCAGCUUCCAGCAAACGAUGACAUCUUACACAACACAGGUCAAAACCCCGAGAAGAGGCUGGGAGAGGCUAUUGUGAAUUAACCCUUUGUUGUCUGUGUUUCAAGUUUCGCUGAUAAUAAAAGUGUAUUAAGCUUAGUAGCUUCUGCUUAUUGAUUAUUCUGUCCACAGGACUGCUUCCGAAGCCAGCAGGAAUCUCCGAUCCCUUCCUUACACUUCGUUGUGCUACCUCCCCCUUUGGCUGUGCUACUGGCCACCUGUACCUCAGAACUCACCAUGAGGCUCCCGUGAUACUACAUUACUGGGUGUCUCAUCUUCACUUUGGAACCUCUCAGCCCCGAGUCUCUGCAUCUCAUACUCUCGUCACAGCCAUCCUGUGAAUGCUCAUGCUUGCGACUAGGGUUUAGAUGCUGAGGGCUCCAUGAUCUGUAGUCCAGAACAGGAUCCAACACUGAACUCAAUUCUCCUUCAAACCCAGCCUUCGGCACUUCUUACAGAGUCUACUUUCCAACAGAGGAGUGUGUACUGUCCCCUUAUCGCCCAGUCCCCAUCUAACACUGUGGGGGCAGAUACUGAACCCUGGAAAUAAAUUGGCUGACUGGGUUGGAGAGGGUACAUCCCAGAAACAAUGAGCUGAUUUAGAUUUGCUCAACAGCUACAGUGAAACACAGAAAUCUCUGGACAUAGUGGUACAUGCCUGUAGGCUAAGUAUAUGGGAGCCUGGGGCAGGAGGGUCAAGGAUAGCCUGGACUACAAGGUGGGACUAUAUCUCAACAAACCAAACCAAUCAACCAACAAAACCCUUAAAAUACAUAUACUAGACUAUGUGUCUGAAAGAUCCUUAAAAUUCCAUGGAGCAGAUUUUUAGCUAAUGUAUAUUCUCUCUUCUUUUCUUCCCUCCCUCCCUCU